CUCCUCACUCUCCAUCUAUGGGUGGAAACUAUGCCUUUUUUUAUUUUACCCGAGUCAUUCUUUUCUAUGCCUUUGUUAUGUGAAGAUUAGGAGUCCUCGUGCCUUGAAGACAAAGACCCAUAGGUCAUAUGCAAAGGCAGCCUCCACUUAUGUUAGAUUUGUGACUUCUCUGGUGUGCCUCCUUCUCUAGUCACGGCUCAUGACAUAGAGACUAGAUCAUGGCCAGAUCUUCUUCCACUGGACAUUGACGGCGCUCCUCACUCUCCAUCUAUGGGUUUUUUAUUUGGGUUUUUAGAUUUAAGGCUGCUGUGAUUCACUCAAAAAUGGGUUUUCAUUUGUUCUUUGUUUUCGUUUUCAGUUUCUUUUUGUUGAAUGUUUAGGUUUUUGAUUUGGGUCUUUGUUCUUUGUGGGUUUUUUAUUUGGGUCUUCAUUCUUUAUUAUUCUUUUUGUUGUAUGUUGUAUUUGGUUUGAGUUUACAAAUUGAGAUUUGCAGCUCUAUGAAAUGUGUUGGUGAUUUGCAGCUCUAUGAAAUGUGUUGGUGAUUUGCAGCUCUAUGAAAUGUGUUGGU
Molecule: unclassified non-coding RNA, 568 nt
Filed under: Hevea brasiliensis (rubber tree)
Lineage: Eukaryota; Viridiplantae; Streptophyta; Magnoliopsida; Malpighiales; Euphorbiaceae
Source: RNAcentral